RNAcentral lists this transfer RNA (65 nucleotides) under Dipodomys ordii (Ord's kangaroo rat). It matches the Rfam family "tRNA". From Rfam's summary of the family: Transfer RNA (tRNA) molecules are approximately 80 nucleotides in length. Their secondary structure includes four short double-helical elements and three loops (D, anti-codon, and T loops). Lineage: Eukaryota; Metazoa; Chordata; Mammalia; Rodentia; Heteromyidae. The record is from Rfam by way of RNAcentral.
GGUGGCUCAGUGGUAGAGCACUUGCCUUGCAUCCAUGAGGCCCUGGGUUCGAUUCCUUAGCACCA